RNAcentral lists this small nuclear RNA (18 nucleotides) under Arabidopsis thaliana (thale cress). RNAcentral describes it as "snRNA_13856". Lineage: Eukaryota; Viridiplantae; Streptophyta; Magnoliopsida; Brassicales; Brassicaceae. The record is from RNAcentral.
UUCGUCUUUCUUUUUCUU